RNAcentral lists this ribosomal RNA (492 nucleotides) under uncultured bacterium. RNAcentral's name for it is "partial 16S ribosomal RNA". It matches the Rfam family "Bacterial small subunit ribosomal RNA", at positions 29 to 507 of the family's 1533-position model. The record is from RNAcentral.
AUUGAACGCUGGCGGCAUGCUUUACACAUGCAAGUCGAACGGUAACAGGCCUUCGGGUGCUGACGAGUGGCGAACGGGUGAGUAAUGCAUCGGAACGUGCCCAGAGGUGGGGGAUAACGCAGCGAAAGCUGUGCUAAUACCGCAUGUGAUCUGAGGAUGAAAGCGGGGGACCAGGCAGCAAUGUUUGGCCUCGCGCCUUUGGAGCGGCCGAUGUCAGAUUAGGUAGUUGGUGGGGUAAAGGCCUACCAAGCCGACGAUCUGUAGCUGGUCUGAGAGGACGAACAGCCACACUGGGACGGAGACACGGCCCAGACUCCUACGGGAGGCAGCAGUGGGGAAUUUUGGACAAUGGGCGCAAGCCUGAUCCAGCAAUGCCGCGUGCGGGAAGAAGGCCUUCGGGUUGUAAAACGCUUUUGUACGGAACGAAAAGGCUCUGGCUAAUACCUGGGGCUGAUGACGGUACCGUAAGAAUAAGCACCGGCUAACUACGUG